RNAcentral lists this ribosomal RNA (368 nucleotides) under uncultured organism. RNAcentral describes it as "bacterial SSU rRNA". It matches the Rfam family "Bacterial small subunit ribosomal RNA", at positions 526 to 896 of the family's 1533-position model. The record is from RNAcentral.
CGGAGGGUGCAAGCGUUAUCCGGAUUCACUGGGUUUAAAGGGAGCGUAGGUGGGUUGGUAAGUCAGUGGUGAAAUCCCCGAGCUUAACUUGGGAACUGCCAUUGAUACUAUCAGUCUUGAAUACUGUGGAGGUUAGCGGAAUAUGUCAUGUAGCGGUGAAAUGCUUAGAUAUGACAUAGAACACCAAUUGCGAAGGCAGCUGGCUACACAAUUAUUGACACUGAGGCUCGAAAGCGUGGGGAUCAAACAGGAUUAGAUACCCUGGUAGUCCACGCCCUAAACUAUGGAUACUCGACAUACGCGAUACACUGUGUGUGUCUGAGCGAAAGCAUUAAGUAUCCCACCUGGGAAGUACGAUCGCAAGAUUG